RNAcentral lists this ribosomal RNA (253 nucleotides) under uncultured bacterium. RNAcentral's name for it is "partial 16S ribosomal RNA". It matches the Rfam family "Bacterial small subunit ribosomal RNA", at positions 524 to 776 of the family's 1533-position model. The record is from RNAcentral.
UACAGAGGGUGCAAGCGUUACUCGGAAUUACUGGGCGUAAAGCGUGCGUAGACGGUUACAUAAGUCGGGUGUGAAAGCCCCGGGCUCAACCUGGGAAUUGCAUUCGAGACUGCGUAGCUAGGGUGCGGAAGAGGGAAGCGGAAUUUCCGGUGUAGCGGUGAAAUGCGUAGAUACCGGAAGGAACACCAGUGGCGAAAGCGGCUUCCUGGUCCAGCACCGACGUUCAGGCACGAAAGCGUGGGGAGCAAACAGG